GACGAACGCUGGCGGCGUGCUUAACACAUGCAAGUCGAGCGGUAAGGCCCUUUCGGGGGUACGACGAGCGGCGAACGGGUGAGUAACACGUGGGUGACCUGCCCUCAGCUCUGGGAUAAGCCUGGGAAACCGGGUCUAAUACUGGAUAUGACUCCAUGACGCAUGUUGUGGGGUGGAAAGCCUUGUGCGGCUGAGGAUGGGCCCGCGGCCUAUCAGCUUGUUGGUGGGGUGAUGGCCUACCAAGGCGACGACGGGUAGCCGGCCUGAGAGGGCGACCGGCCACACUGGGACUGAGACACGGCCCAGACUCCUACGGGAGGCAGCAGUGGGGAAUUUUCGCAAUGGGGGCAACCCUGACGAAGCAACGCCGCGUGGGGAUGAAGGUCUUCGGAUUGUAAACCCCUGUCGACCGGGACGAAUGUAGAACGGCCUAAUACGCCGAGCUAUUG
Molecule: ribosomal RNA, 449 nt
Filed under: uncultured bacterium
Lineage: Bacteria
Description: bacterial SSU rRNA
Rfam family: Bacterial small subunit ribosomal RNA
Source: RNAcentral